ACACCAGCACCUCAAGUGGUCAGGAGGAUUAUUGGGCCUAAAGCAUCCGUAGCCUGUUCUAUAAGUUUCCGGUUAAAUCCACUAGCUCAACUAGUGGGCUGCCGAAAAUACUGUAGAACUAGGGAGUGGGAGAGGUAGACGGUAUUCGGUAGGAAGGGGUAAAAUCCUUUGAUCUAUUGAGGACCACCUGUGGCGAAGGCGGUCUACCAGAACACGUUCGACGGUGAGGGAUGAAAGCUGGGGGAGCAAACCGGAUUAGAAACCCGUGUAGUCC
This 274-nucleotide ribosomal RNA is filed under the name uncultured bacterium. Its description in RNAcentral is "partial 16S ribosomal RNA". It matches the Rfam family "Archaeal small subunit ribosomal RNA", at positions 473 to 747 of the family's 1478-position model. The record is from RNAcentral.